UUGGCCGAGCAAGGGAGGCAUGGAUCCAUUGGCCCACCUCUUUCUCCCGAUAUUUUCUCUCCCCAUCCCCUCGAUCUCCCAUCUCCUCCCCUCGCCUCCCUGGUUCCUCUCGAUCUCCCAUCUCCUCCCUCUCUCUCGAUCUCCCCUCCCUGGCUCCUCUCGAUCUCCCUUCUCCUCCCUCUCUCGAUCUCCCUUCUCCUCUCUCCCCUUUCGGAUCUCCUCCCUCUCCCCGCCGUGCGCGCCGCCAAGGAGCCCGCAGGAUCCGGCUCCCCCGACGCUGACGCCGGCCCGGACCCCGACGCCGGCCGCCCUUCGACCGACCACCGGAUCUGGCCGCCCUCGUCCACGCCGCCGGAGGAGGGGAGAUUGGGCGGGGUCGAGCGGCGCCUUGUGAUCGGCACGUUCUCGGCCGCAGAAAGGAGGAGGCGGCACCUGGUGGCCACAGCUUAGGGCUGGCGAGCAUGCGCGGUUCGUUAAGAUCGUUAACGGUAACGAUCUCCAACCAUAGUUCGGCUCGGUUCGUUAAAUGCUCGCGAGCGCUCGUUAAGUUCGUUAGAAACUCGUUAACAUAAAUAGCCAAUUUUUAAUCCAUUUCCUCAACUAAUUUUGUUAGGCAUAAUCUAUUUUCUUCAGCUAUAAUUUGACCACAAAUAAAAAGCAAGCAACAUUAAUACAUCACAUGUAAAAUUAAUCCACGUAUCUCUGUAUCAGUACAUCACAAGCCACUCACAACGCACUGAAGCCACACAUCCUGGUAGGUUUCAAUUCAAGCCACAUAUGCUAUGCACAGCAGCUGCAGCCUCAUUCACGACUCGGAAACCUUCUUAAUCGACUCUGCCUCCAUGCCGGUAGGUUUGGGCGCCGUGGCUGCUUUUCCAUGCGCGGGGACGGGGGAUGGAUAGGCAGCAAUGGAGUAAUGACUGCGGCCGAGCGCGGCGGCCGGCGGAACGUUGCUGGCUGGGGUUGUGACUGGUGCCGGGUGGUCUCCGUGCCGAUCUGCUUUUGGGAUUGCCGCCGUCACUGACCCACGCCUGGGGAUGGAGGCAGUCCGGCAGCUGCAGGCAGGGAGAGGCAUCGAUUCGAGUCGCUCUAGGUGGAUCAGUUUCCUCGAUGGGAUUGGAAGAUGGGCCGCCUCCGCCUGCCGCAGAUAGCUUAAUGGGCUGUGCACACGGGCUGGCGACGCGAGCUCGUAACGAGCCUAUCGAGUACUCGGCAGACUGCUCUGUAAGAUCGUUAACACUAACGAUCUGAGAUGGCUGCCCGGUUCAGUUCGAAAAUUAACGGACCGAGUGCUUACCGAACCGAUCUAGCGAGCGUUCGUUAAGAUUACAGGGCUUCGAGGUUUUUGUCCAGCCCUAGCCACAGGUUGAGUUCUGCCGGCGACUAAGAGGAAGCGACAGUCGGGGUUUGUGAUGGCCAGAUCCAGGGUUUUUUUCAAUUUCUGAUAGUGAUUCGAUUCCGAUCUUUGUUUCAAUUUCUGGACUAGGGAUCCAACAAAAUUUGUUGAAUUCUUUUUUUAUUUCGGGUUCUUUUAAUCCCUUCCAAACUGUAGAUGAAAUUGUUCAAAUAUGUGGAUGUGAUGAUUGUUCCAAAUUCUGGAUUUGUUGUAUGUGGUUCAUGGAUUAGUUCAUCAAUUGGUUUGUGAUUUGUGAUUUGUCGA
Molecule: long non-coding RNA, 1660 nt
Organism: Brachypodium distachyon (stiff brome)
Lineage: Eukaryota; Viridiplantae; Streptophyta; Magnoliopsida; Poales; Poaceae
Exons: 2
Source: RefSeq, a predicted model, not a curated record